UGCAGUCGACGGUGAAGCAGAGCUUGCUCUGUGGAUCAGUGGCGAACGGGUGAGUAACACGUGAGCAAUCUGCCCCUGACUCUGGGAUAAGCGCUGGAAACGGCGUCUAAUACCGGAUACGAGCUGCGACCGCAUGGUCAGUAGCUGGAAAGAAUUUCGGUCAGGGAUGAGCUCGCGGCCUAUCAGCUUGUUGGUGAGGUAAUGGCUCACCAAGGCGUCGACGGGUAGCCGGCCUGAGAGGGUGACCGGCCACACUGGGACUGAGACACGGCCCAGACUCCUACGGGAGGCAGCAGUGGGGAAUAUUGCACAAUGGGCGCAAGCCUGAUGCAGCAACGCCGCGUGAGGGAUGACGGCCUUCGGGUUGUAAACCUCUUUUAGCAGGGAAGAAGCGAAAGUGACGGUACCUGCAGAAAAAGCGCCGGCUAACUACGUGCCAGCAGCCGCGGUAAUACGUAGGGCGCAAGCGUUAUCCGGAAUUAUUGGGCGUAAAGAGCUCGUAGGCGGUCUGUCGCGUCUGCUGUGAAAACCCGAGGCUCAACCUCGGGCCUGCAGUGGGUACGGGCAGACUAGAGUGCGGUAGGGGAGAUUGGAAUUCCUGGUGUAGCGGUGGAAUGCGCAGAUAUCAGGAGGAACACCGAUGGCGAAGGCAGAUCUCUGGGCCGUAACUGACGCUGAGGAGCGAAAGGGUGGGGAGCAAACAGGCUUAGAUACCCUGGUAGUCCACCCCGUAAACGUUGGGAACUAGUUGUGGGGUCCAUUCCACGGAUUCCGUGACGCAGCUAACGCAUUAAGUUCCCCGCCUGGGGAGUACGGCCGCAAGGCUAAAACUCAAAGGAAUUGACGGGGACCCGCACAAGCGGCGGAGCAUGCGGAUUAAUUCGAUGCAACGCGAAGAACCUUACCAAGGCUUGACAUAUAGAGGAAACGUCUGGAAACAGUCGCCCCGCAAGGUCUCUAUACAGGUGGUGCAUGGUUGUCGUCAGCUCGUGUCGUGAGAUGUUGGGUUAAGUCCCGCAACGAGCGCAACCCUCGUUCUAUGUUGCCAGCACGUAAUGGUGGGAACUCAUGGGAUACUGCCGGGGUCAACUCGGAGGAAGGUGGGGAUGACGUCAAAUCAUCAUGCCCCUUAUGUCUUGGGCUUCACGCAUGCUACAAUGGCCGGUACAAAGGGCUGCAAUACCGUGAGGUGGAGCGAAUCCCAAAAAGCCGGUCCCAGUUCGGAUUGAGGUCUGCAACUCGACCUCAUGAAGUCGGAGUCGCUAGUAAUCGCAGAUCAGCAACGCUGCGGUGAAUACGUUCCCGGGUCUUGUACACACCGCCCGUCAAGUCAUGAAAGUCGGUAACACCUGAAGCCGGUGGCCCAACCCUUGUGGAGGAGC
RNAcentral lists this ribosomal RNA (1382 nucleotides) under Microbacterium sp. MCCC 1A11205. RNAcentral's name for it is "bacterial SSU rRNA". It matches the Rfam family "Bacterial small subunit ribosomal RNA". The record is from RNAcentral. Lineage: Bacteria; Bacillati; Actinomycetota; Actinomycetes; Micrococcales; Microbacteriaceae.